UUCGCCUUUAUGGCGUAAGGUGCUUUGAGCAAAUGCCCAAAGCUUAAUAGGGAAGAGAGCCAUGCGACGCUGAUAUCGAUUUUUAUUUGAAGCGUUGCAAGGACUCCACGGUGCCGCCGCUGUCGGCAAGAACGAAAGCGAAAAAACCACUGUUCUGACAUUGUCGGAAUGGGAAGGAUCGCGAGUAGGUGAAGUGCUUGCCAGUCAGAAGACCUACCUUGAUACAUCAAAACAU
Molecule: non-coding RNA, 235 nt
Filed under: Candidatus Omnitrophota bacterium
Lineage: Bacteria; Pseudomonadati; Candidatus Omnitrophota
Source: RNAcentral